This 406-nucleotide ribosomal RNA is filed under the name uncultured bacterium. RNAcentral describes it as "partial 16S ribosomal RNA". It matches the Rfam family "Bacterial small subunit ribosomal RNA", at positions 30 to 526 of the family's 1533-position model. The record is from RNAcentral.
AUUGAACGCUGGCGGCAGGCCUAACACAUGCAAGUCGAACGAGUGGCGGACGGGUGAGUAAUGUCUGGGAAACCGCCUGAUGGAGGGGGUUAACUCCUGGAAACGGUAGCUAAUACCGCAUACCAUCAGAUGUGCCCAGAUGGGAUUAGCUUGUUGGUGGGGUAAUGGGUCACCAAGGCGACGAUCCCUCGCUGGUCUGCGAGGUUGACCAGCCACACUGGAACUGAGACACGGUCCAGACUCCUACGGGAGGCAGUAGUGGGGAAUCGUGCACAAUGGGCGCAAGCCUGAUGCAGCCAUGCCGCGUGUGUGAAGAAGGCCUUCGGGUUGUAAAGUACUUUCAGCGGGGAGGCGUUACCCGCAGAAGAAGCACCGGCUAACUCCGUGCCAGCAGCCGCGGUAAUAC